This 357-nucleotide ribosomal RNA is filed under the name uncultured Desulfobotulus sp. RNAcentral's name for it is "bacterial SSU rRNA". It matches the Rfam family "Bacterial small subunit ribosomal RNA", at positions 1027 to 1382 of the family's 1533-position model. The record is from RNAcentral. Lineage: Bacteria; Pseudomonadati; Thermodesulfobacteriota; Desulfobacteria; Desulfobacterales; Desulfobacteraceae.
CCGCAAGACAGGUGCUGCAUGGCUGUCGUCAGCUCGGUGUCGUGAGAUGUUGGGUUAAGUCCCGCAACGAGCGCAACCCUUGUCUUCAGUUGCCAGCACGUAAAGGUGGGAACUCUGAAGAUACUGCCCCGGUUAACGGGGAGGAAGGUGGGGAUGACGUCAAGUCCUCAUGGCCCUUAUGCCCAGGGCUACACACGUGCUACAAUGGCAUAUACAAAGGGUCGCGAUACCGCGAGGUGGAGCCAAUCCCAUAAAGUAUGCCACAGUUCGGAUUGGAGUCUGCAACUCGACUCCAUGAAGUUGGAAUCGCUAGUAAUCGCAGAUCAGCAUGCUGCGGUGAAUACGUUCCCGGGCCUU